This 430-nucleotide ribosomal RNA is filed under the name uncultured Massilia sp. RNAcentral's name for it is "bacterial SSU rRNA". It matches the Rfam family "Bacterial small subunit ribosomal RNA", at positions 354 to 776 of the family's 1533-position model. The record is from RNAcentral. Lineage: Bacteria; Pseudomonadati; Pseudomonadota; Betaproteobacteria; Burkholderiales; Oxalobacteraceae.
GUGGGGAAUUUUGGACAAUGGGCGCAAGCCUGAUCCAGCAAUGCCGCGUGAGUGAAGAAGGCCUUCGGGUUGUAAAGCUCUUUUGUCAGGGAAGAAACGGCGAUUUCUAAUAAAGAUUGCUAAUGACGGUACCUGAAGAAUAAGCACCGGCUAACUACGUGCCAGCAGCCGCGGUAAUACGUAGGGUGCAAGCGUUAAUCGGAAUUACUGGGCGUAAAGCGUGCGCAGGCGGUUUUGUAAGUCUGACGUGAAAUCCCCGGGCUUAACCUGGGAAUUGCGUUGGAGACUGCAAGGCUGGAGUCUGGCAGAGGGGGGUAGAAUUCCACGUGUAGCAGUGAAAUGCGUAGAGAUGUGGAGGAACACCGAUGGCGAAGGCAGCCCCCUGGGUCAAGACUGACGCUCAUGCACGAAAGCGUGGGGAGCAAACAGG